RNAcentral lists this long non-coding RNA (12959 nucleotides) under Marmota monax (woodchuck). The stretch from base 5173 to 5373 matches the Rfam family "Small nucleolar RNA SNORA74". Lineage: Eukaryota; Metazoa; Chordata; Mammalia; Rodentia; Sciuridae. The record is from RNAcentral.
CCCGCGGCGGAGCUCCGGACACUUGCGGGUGAGUGAGGGCCGGGUGAGCAGCAGACUGGGGGGUUUACUCGCCUGAGGCGAGAGGGAGUGUGGGGAGGCUUCUGCCAGGGCACGGGACGGAAUUGGGGUUUGUUCCCUGGUGAUCCCAGGCUUGGAGGGCUUUUUUGAAAAGACCUGGGAAAUCGUAGCCUCAGAACCUGCCGCUAUGUUCUGCCAUCCCUCUUCUCACUGGAGAGUCGCCAGGAGCCUGACCCUGGAAGUCUCGCUCUCUCGGCGCCGCCAUGGGCAGAGCUUGGGAAGACCGUGAGGAGCACGUGUCGGGUGGAACUGGGGCAGCCUCUGCAACCAGAGGCCCCGAAAGAGGCAGUCUAGUUUGAGAUUCGUGGUUUUUGUUUGGUUUGGUAUUGGGGAUUGAAGCCGGGACGCUUUAAAUUUUUUUAAAAUUUUGAGACAGAGUUGCUUAGGGACUUGCUAAGUUGCUGAGGCUGGCCUCGAAUUUGUAGUCCUUCUGUGUACCCCCCCACUUCCCCCAUGACUGGCUUCCGCCACUGCGCCCACCUAGGUUCCUUUUCAGACCCCAACAUUGAGUUUUCCAUGCAUUCCUGUUUCUCCCGAGGAGGUUAGAUGUGAAAUUGAGAAUGGCUGGAAAAAAGGUAUGGACUUAGAUAAACUCACUUUAUAAAAACAAAUUAUAAUGGCGAGCGUGUAGAAAUAUUUGUUAACAUCUUUGCAAACAUCUGUUUUAUGUGGUACUAGGCAACUGGGAUUGAACCCAGGGAUCCUUAACCACAGAGCCACAUCCCCAGCUUUCCAAUUUAUUUUUAUUUAUUGAGAAAGAUUCUCACUAAAUUGCUGAGUCUGCCUUGAACUUGGGAUACUUCUGCCCCAGCCUCCCCAUCAGUCUCUGGGAUUACAGGCCUGGGGAGCACCAUUGUACCUAGCCAGCCUUUCUAGUUUUCACUGCCCAUUCUUCCUGGACAACCUUCCCUUACUCAUAAUGUUAGGGUACAAACAUUUGUGAAUGGUAGGAACAUGAGGUUAGGGAAUAACUAUAAAAUGAGUCAACUGGCCAGGCAUGGUGGUGCACAACUGUAAUCCCAGCUCCUCAGGAGGAUUGGGAGUUCAAAGACAGCCUCAGCAAUGGCGAGGCACUAAGCAACUCAGUGAGAUCCUCUCUCUAAAUAAAAUGCAAAAUGGGGCUGGGAAUGUGAGUCAGUGGUUGAAAGUCUGAUGUCAUAUUGCCGACGGUUAAAAGUCAAGAGGUGGGCUGGGGAUGUGGCUCAAGCAGUAGCACGCUCACCUGGCAUACGUGCGGCCCGGGUUCGAUCCUCAGCACCACAUACAAACAAAGAUGUUGUGUCCGCUGAAAACUAAAAAAUAAAUAUUAAUAUCCCCCCCUCUCUUUAAAAAAAUAAAUAAAUAAAAAAUAAAAGUCAAGAGGUGAACCUGGGCAGGAUUCUCUGAGAUCCCCAAUAAAACUGGAGUGUAGGAGAGGCGCACUGUCCCUCUCUGAGUGAAUCCACUCUCCCUUGAGGGUGUCCCCUUUCCCUGUCCUUUCAAUAAACUCACUCCUAUUGCUGAGCAAUAUAUCUGAAAUCUCUCUGACUUGAUUGGGGGUUUGAAGUGGGGUGGACUUUGCACUACCUCAGUUUCUCAGAGGCCCUAGAUCUCUCUUUUUUUUUUUUUUAAAGAGGGUGAGAGAGAAAUUUUUUUUAAUAUUUAUAUUUUGGUUUUCGGCAGACACAACAUCUUUGAAUGUGGUGCUGAGGAUCGAACCUGGGCUGCACGCAUGCCAGGUGAGCGCGCUGCCGCUUGAGCCACAUCCCCAGCCCAAUCCUAGAUCUCUUCCUGAAAGGUAAGUUCUACAUAUCCUGUGGGUUUAACCUAUAUUCCAUUUAAAUCUAUGUGCAAAGCACUGUUAAUAAUAUCCCCAUUCUCCAAAUGAGGAGACUGAGGUUCAAAGUUACUUGCCCAGUGUGGUUUGGCAUCAGGUGGAAGAGCCAUGUUCUCUGAUAAUUGUUGACUGGGCCAUUAUUUUGGUUGCUGCUGAACUGCUGUGGUACAUUAGUAAAUAUGAUUUGAGCCAGGCAUAGUGGCACACACCUGAAAUCCCAACAGCACUUGAAACUGAAGAAGGAAGAUUCCAAGUUUGAAGUCAGCUUCAGCAACUUAGAUCCUGUGUAAAAAUAAAAGGGCUGGGGAUGUAACUCAGUGGUAGAGCAUUCCAGUUGCACACACAAAAUAAUAAUUUUAAAUAAUGUGAAAACAAAGCUAACCAGGGAUAGGCUGUUUUGUUGUCCACCUUUGCUCUGGCCUCUUAAGUUACAGGGCCUCUAAUCUGCACACGUGUUCACUAACUGUUGGCUGACUAUAACUUGGUUUGUUUUGAUUGCAGAGUGGCCAGCUAUGGACUUAAGGCAGAUAUGACCCCUGGUAAGAAUAAUACCAUUGUCCUCCUUUGGCCCCAGCUGUAGGCAGCUGCCUAGGUUGCCUUGUACCUAGGCAAGUGUUACACUGCUGGGAGAACAACAGCCAAUAGCUGGUUGGCAUUCUGGUCUCGGUUCAUGCUGACCCUGUACUGUUAACUAUACCAGGAUGUCAGCAUAAUUGUUUAUACAUCAAGGUUAAAUCUGUAAGCAUGAUAUUUUGCAGGGAGAAACCUGAAAUCCAGACCUUCCUAUGUAGGUACUGGUCUAACAGGUUUGGCUAGUAUUAAGUUGCUUGACUCAUACCUUGGAAAUAAAAUGCAAGUAAUCCAGCCAGGGAGGGAUAUGUAAAUAGAGGGGGAAGUCACAUUUAAUUUUUUAGUGCCUGUGAAGUAUUCAAAAGUACUUGUGACCCCAGGUGAGUAUAACACAAUAGUCCUUUGGUCUCAGCUGUAGGCUGUAACCUUGUACCUAAGCAAGUGAUGCAGGACAGAAGUCAAUGAAAAUUUUACUGAUUUCACUAAAUCAAAGCAAAAACCCAUGCAUGAAAAUAUUGCCAGGCAUGGUGACACACCAGUAAUUCAGCUACUUAGGUUCAGGCAGAAAGAUAGUGAGUUCAGGCCAGUCUGAGCAAACUAAUGAGAUCCCAUCUCAAAAAGAAAAAAAAAUUGAGGGGCUCUGGGAACUAGUAAUAAUUUAUAGAGUUAUAGAGUUGUUGUCCCUUUAUAGAGUAGUUAAGUAUUGAAUCCCUUCAAAGUGUUUUCUCAGAAGAGAUGCCUCCCCUGGGCAAACAUCACAUAGGGUGAUUCUGGGAUUGUCCAAUAAAGCUGAUUUAGUUACUGCUUCUGUGAAAAGUAACAUCCUAAUUUCCACAUGAGGAACUGGUGAGGAUGUUUGGGAGAGGGAAGCUAAGUUAUCAAAGCUUGUUUUGUUCCAUCAGUUGGCUUUCCCUUAAAGGAUUCUCCAACUAAAUGCUGAGGAUUUGUGUGACUGCCUCAAAUGUUUAUCAUGAAUAGCCUUUUAGAUAUGGGAUCUUAAGACUAGAGACAUGGGGGAUGGUUAGCUUUAUGGCACUCAUAGGCAGGAAAAGCAAAUAAUGGGAGAUAAAAAUAAUUCUUAAGGUAUAGACAACAUGAUAAAUCAUAAAUGGCAGGCAAUAUUGUUGGUUUGUUCAAAGUAAGAGGAUACAAGUGGCUUAGCUUGGAGUAGAGUAUCAUUGAUAACCAGUUUGCACAGCAGCUUGAUGAUAUGACCACUUCAACACACAAAAUCAUCAGCAAGCUGUCACUAUAUCCUUGGCACCAACAGAACAUCAGGAAUAAACUCCUGUACCCUCACCCUGCACUUCCCACCUUAGUGCAGGCUUGAGUGUACACCUAGAUUUGAUUGGCCCAAAGUUAGCCCACGCAUGCUCUUUUUCAAAUAUAUACACCUAAAUUUUAUAUAUAUAUAUAAAUUUAUUUAUAUGUAGUGCUGAGGGUUGAACCCAGGGCCUCACACAUGCUAGGCGAGCGCUGUACCGCUGAGCCACAACCCCAGCCCAUACGCCUAAAUUUGAUUGGUUUGGGAAACAACCAAAAAGGGAGAAACCUUAUAAGGAAACUUAGGCAACUUUCAGGAAGAUUAUAACCCCAUAGUACUCGGCCUGUGAGGAACCAGGGGAGGGAAACUGCAUUUUAGGGAAUAAAAUGCUCUAUGUAACUGUUCUAGGGGUGCAUGGUCACCAGACACUGGAUCUUGCAAGACUUGCCAUUAGAGCCUCACUUUUGUACCUCCUGUCUCUGAGUCCAUUCUUUGGCAUUGGGCGGCAGGUGAGUGAAUUUCUCAUUAGCAAUUUUGAAAUGUAUAAGGCAUUGUUAUUAUAGUCACUAUUAUGUAUAAUAGAUCAUUAAAUCUUACUUGCCUGCCUUUUUAGGAUGACUUGAAAUUGUGAUAUUCUUUACCCUCCAGAAGAGAGGAAAUAGUGAUGGGUGGACAGUGUACAUGUGGAGUUUUCAGAUAAAUAUCCCUGUUCAUUCUAGAGUUGUUGACCUCCUAUGUGCCAGGCAUGGUGGCACAUACCUAUAAUCUCAGUCUCCAAAGGCUGAGGCAAGAGGAUUGCAAGUUGGAGGCUAGCCUCAGCGAUUUUGCAAGUCCCAAAGCAACUUACUGAGACCCUGUCUCAAAUUAAAAAUAAAAAGGGCUGCGGAUAUAACUCAGUGGUCAAUUGCCCCUGGGUUCAAUCUCCAGUACAGAAAGAAAGAGAAAUAAUUGGGAUGAAAUUCACUGUUUGCUCUCAAUAAAUUCAGUCUCCAAGCAAUUAAAGUAGGAUUUUGGUGGUUUGGGUGAAAAUAUGUAGGACCUUGCAGAUUCGCUGUGUCACUCCAUCUGGGGUAUUUACAAGGAGAUUGUAAAUUUUUUGAGGGAAAGGGUAGUGUAUCUUCCGUUCACUGCUAGAUCCCAAUUUCAGCCCCUAGCACAUGGCAGGAACUCCUUGAAUGUUGGGUAAAAUACCCCAAAGCAGGCUGGGGUUAUUGCUCAGAGGUAGAGCCUUUGCCUGGUGUGUGCGAGGCUCUGGGUUCAAUCCUCAGCACCACAUAAAAAUAAAUAAAGGCAUUGUGUCCAGCUACAACUAAAAAAAUGAAUUUUUUUUUUUAAAAAAGCAUGGAAAAUACUUCCUUUCCUACUUCCAGCUACUACUGAUACUGUAACUCUGUCUUCUAUGAGGGUGGAGGCUGUAAGGAUGAGAAAUUUGUUUCAGAAACAAUCCAGCGGUUGUCAGCUAUCCAGGCUAGUGUGGUGCCUGUGAUUGUGUUACACUGUUGGAAGAGCAAGCACUGUCUUUAUUGAGGUUUGGCUCCAAGCACUGUUUUGGUGUUGUAGCUAAGUACCUUCAGGCAGUGUUCUGCACCUCUGAGAGUGGAAUGACUUCUCCUGUGGAGUUGGUCCUAGUCUGGGUGCAAACAAAAGUACCCUGGGGCUGGGAAUGUUAGCUCAGUGCUAGAGCACUUGCCUAACAUGUGCAGGGCCUCAGCACCCAAGGGAUAGUCUUAAAGGAAAACAUGUCAUCCUUUACCUUUGAAUCCUAGAUACUUUAACCUGAAUGAGAAUGAGAAACCUGUCUUCAUCAGGACCUCAGACAUCUAACAGCUUUGUGCACACCAAGACAAGUAAUGUAUAUAGUCCUUCUUGUUAUAUAUUUCAGCUCAGAUGGGUGGAAGAGCUUAAAAUUAUGGAGGGAAUUGGGGUUGUGGCUCAGUGGUAGAGUACUUGCCUACUAUGUGUGAGGCACUGGGUAGAGACAAAUGCUUAAAAUCCAACUGUCAUUUUUUUAGAGCUGUGCUGUACAAUACAUAUGGCUAGUUAAGUUGUAAAAAUGAAAUAAACCAGUUUUUCAAUCUCAGUAUCUGUUUGACUAGUGACUACCAUAUUGGACAGCUAGGACAUUUCACCAGUACAAAAAGUUUAUUGUAUACUCUUAGAGCAGAGAUCUGCAAACAUCCUGAAAUGGGCCAGAUCAUAAAUAUUUUAGGCUUGUGCAGCCAUGUGGUCUUUGUAACUAUGCAAUUGUAGUGUGAAAGCAACCUUAGUAUGUCAACAAAAAAACAUGGCUAUGUUUCAGCAAAUUUUAUUUAUGAGCACUGGACUUGGAAUUUCAUAAAAAUCGAGUGUCACAUUUUUUCCAUUCUUAUUUUUGGGGGCCAUUCAAAAACAGGUUACACCGGGUGUGGUGGCUUGGGGGGCCUUAACAGGGCUGGGGAUGUGGCUCAAUGGCCCCUGGGUUCACUCCCUGGAACACCCCCACCCACCCUUAAAAAAAUAAUUUUAAAAAUUAGGUUGUAGCCUAGACAUGCACAGUUUCAGCUACUCAGGAUACUGAGGCAAGAGGAUUGCAAAUUCAAGAUCAGUCUGGGCAACUUGGUAAGACUGCCUCAAAAAAAUAAAAAGGGCUGAGGAUAUAGCUCAAGUGAUAAAGUAUCCUGGGUUUAAUUCCUAGUACCACAGACAACAAAACCCUGUAGGCCGGGCUGGGGAUGUGGCUCAAGCGGUAGCGCAUUCGCCUGCCAUGCAUGUGGCCCGGGCUCCAUCCUGAGCACCACAUACAAACAAAGAUGUGUCCACCAAAAACUAAAAUAAAUAAAUAAAUAAAUCUUAAAAUUAAAAAAAAACAACCACACUGUAGGCCGAAAGCUAGAAUUGGCCUGUGGGAUAUGGUUUGGUGACCCUGUUCUGUAGAUUAUUUGGGCCUUGAAUCAAAUAGCUCAUUAGUUCAGCGUUACCAGUGUGUCCCACUUAAAAUUCCGUGUUAACAGUACUUUUUUCCCUAUAUCCAUACACUCUUUUUUCAUCUCUUAGAGGUAACUGAAGUAAAUUAGUUCUUGUUUCUUUUGAUGGGAAUUGUUUGCUGGGCAUACUUUUAUCAUAGUGGUUCUCUCCGUUUUUAAUGCACAUCUUGGGGAGAUCUUAAGAAAGAAAAUAGCCAGCAGAGCCUUUGAUCAUGAACUUUGUCCUAGGUAGUGAAACAGAAAAAGAAAAUUUUAUGUCAUUGGUAGCUCCAUGGGAUUUGGGUGGUUUUUGUUGUUGAUGGGGGUGGGGAUCCUGGGGAUUGAACCUAGGGCUGUGCUCUGCCCCUGAGCUAUUAGUCCUCUGUAGGCCUUUAAAUCUGGGGUCUCAAUUCCUGACCACAGAUAGGGCUACCCUUGUACAGAGAAGAGGAGAGGUUCCUAAGUCACCACUUAAAAAGGGAUAAUUUGGUGUUUGUGGACCUAUAAUAAUAUCCCAAGAGGUUUCAAUGACAUAAAAUCAUGCACAGAUUUCCUAAUUGAUAACAGUUGUUUCUCUUUUUUUUCCAGCAAAUUUAUGUCCUGUUGUCUUAAGAAGAUGAAGUAAAAUAUUUGAAUAGUUUUGCGGGGGGGGGGGGGGUUGUUUUUUAAAUCCCUUUCUUUUCUCUUUUUAUUCUUUUCCCAUGCUUCAAUGGACAGUGGAAUUAGAUUGCCAGGGUUGUUGGUCUGUGAAUAUCCAAGCUGCUAUUAUAACCUAUAUUAUCUAUAUUUAUUGCUACCUAUAACACAAGCUGUUAUAGGUAGCAAUAAACACAAGUACUGGCCAGGUUUUAGGUCCCAAACCUGUACCAUAUUAAGAGGUAAGUAGGGGACUAUAAUAAGUGUUAUCUCAGACACCUAUCAUUAUUUUAUGUUCUUCUUGCUAAGUUCAAAGAAACUAAUGAAAGUGGUUUUCUGGGGUUUUUUUACAUUGAAAUUUUGGAUCCUGUCUCAAAUUUCAAUGGGGAAAACAAAGCCCAGAGGGGUAACUCUGUAAGCCUCAAAGGGAUGCAAAAAGGUGGCUGAGUACCUAGGAAUUCACACAAAGGAAAACAACCAGCUAAGAGCAAUUAAUUAAGAACUUGAAAAGAAUGAGAAUGACUCCUGUGAAUCUUAUUGCUUAAUUAGGGCUUUAUGAGCAGCUCUAGUUAAUGGACUUGUCAAUAUACACAAUUUCACUGAAUUAACAAAUUAAUUGUAAUACUUAAAAUCAUGUUUCUACUGACUACUAUUUAGGAGUAUAUAUAAAGCCAACUUGCUGGGUUAUAUAUUUGUCAUUUCUGUAGCCUACGGCCUGAUUCAAAGGAACCCUUAUUUGGCCUUCCUUGUCCUUCAGUAAAGCUCCUUUGAGGUGAGAGUGUUCCCUGCUGCAUGUUAAGGGUAACUUUACUACUCCUCAGGAAAAGGGUAACAUCAUGGACAUGGAAUGGAAUUUAUUUUAGAAUACUUCCAGUGAAGCACAUCCAUUUUCCCCUAAAAACAUCUUACAUUAGUGUGUUAUGAUUGUCGAAAUGAAUAGGCUAAUAUUGAUUCAUUAGUAUUUAAGUCAAUAUUUUAUUUAGGUUUUCUUAGUUUUUUUUUUUUUUUUGUUUUUGUUUUUUUUUUUGUGGUACUGGACAUCAAAUUCAGGACCCUGAGCAAGCUAAGCACGUAUUCUUCCACUGAGUUAUACCUACAGUUCCUCUGAAGUUUUUUUUUUUUUUUUUUUAACCUAAAGUCCUUUUGUUUUAGGAUCCCAGUAAGUAUGCCAUAUUACAGGGCUGGGGGUGUAGCUCAAUGGUAGCAUGCUUGCCUACAACAUGUGAGACACUGGAUACAAUCCUUAGCACUACAUUUUUUAAAAAGGUAUUGUGUCCAUCUACUACUAAAAAUAUUAAAAAAGAAUAUCACAUUACAUUUAGGUUGUCAUGCUUCUCUUGGAAAUACAGUGUUUAUCAGCUGAAAAUAUUUUUUUAAUAUUUAUAUUUUAGUUUUUGGUGGACACAACAUUUUCAUGUGGUGCUAAGGAUCGAACCCAGUGCCCCGCACAUGCCAGGCAAGCGCGUCACUGCUUGAGCCACAUCCCCAGCCCAGCUGAAAAUAUUUUAAUCAGGGUAGUAAAUAAUCAGUUUGAAGGUAAAUGAUAAUUACAGUUAUCUGUUCUAAUUAAAAGGGCAUUUAUAAGAAUCCUAAUAAAAAUUAAAGCUAUUUUACUCUAAUAUUCUUAUGGGAAAAUAAUCUGUAAAAUUAGUCACAACAUUACAAACAGAAUGAAAUACAUAUCAAUUGAGCAGAUAAGGAAGUCCAAAAUUAGGCAUUAAGAUACUGUGAAGUUUUUAAUUGUUCAUGGACCUUUAUUCAUUUCUUUGUAUGCAGGGCUGAGAAUUGAACCCAGUGCCUCACAUAUGUGAGGCAAGCACUCUACUAUUGAGCCGUGAUCCCAGCCUUAACUUCGGAGUUUAAAAAAAAAAUGCUGGGGUUGUGGCUGAGUGGUAGAGCGCUUGCCUGGCAUUUGUGAGGAAUAUGUUUAAAAACAAUAUGACAAUGUUGGGACAACUUGAUAACUGUGUGAGGAAAAAAAAUCCCGUUGAAAUUUUGUGGCACAGAUUUAUAUACAGAAAUUAAAUUUGAGAAGAACAAAGAAAGUGCCUUUUUUAAAAAUAUACUCUUACAGUAAGUUUGCCUUCUAAGUUAAAAACAAAAUGAAUGGUAAAUGACUAGAUUAUUGCAAAUUCUGUAUAAAAAAAUAACUGGAGACACAAACUGGUAAAGAUGUUUGCCAAUUGUUGCUUAUUUGUUUUUGUACUGGGGAUUGAACCCAGGAGUUCUUCUCAGUCACUCUAAGUCAAAUAUAACAACCCAACAUGUCUACAAAAGAAAUAAGCAGCAAGUUUGUUAACUUAAAAAAAGCACAUUUGGGGCUGGGGUUGUGGCUCAGUGAGUGGAGUACUCCCCUAGACAUGAGGCUCUGGGUUUGAUCCUCACCACCACAUAAAAAGAAUGGUGUGUGUGUAUGGUGCUAGGGAUUGAGCCCAUGGCCUUGUGCAUGGGAGGCUAGAAGAUGCUAUGUUUUUUAAAAAAGUGCACAUUUGCUUAGGCAAUAGUGCUGACUAUCCACCAAAUACCUGAGAUAGUCAACUUGGAAAAUGCUGGGCUGGAGCAUUUGCCUUGUAUGGCUCUGUGUUUGAUUACUAGCAUCACCAAAAGUUUAUUUUGGUUCAGCUUUAGAGAUGUUAAUUCAAUCCAUGAUUGAGUCACUCUAUGCUUUGGGCCUAUGGUGAAAAAUACUUCAUAACCACAAAGUAUAAAGGAGGAAGGGACCCCUGUCCAAAUGUCUCUUUCAGGACAUGCCUACAUUGACCUGAAAACACCUAUUGGUAAUGUCAAUAUGGUGACCAAGCCUUUAAUUCAUGAGUCCAAAUUUUGGCACCAAUCCCAAUGUGAUUAAAAUAUGAUGUGAAAAUUAUAUGAAAUUCUGGGGCCAGGAAUGUAGCCUAGUGGAGCAUGUUCUUAUUUCACAUUUCUGGAACAAUAUGUAUGUGAAGUAGUUUUUAUGUAUGGAAAGUGUAGAAUAUAUAAGAAGUGGUUGAUAAUAGUUGCCUUUUUUAAUGUAGGGGAAUAGAGGUUGUCAGGAAGGUGGUCAAAUAGGACCGUAGGGGUCUCAUUGCCUUACAAAAAUUAACAGACCUAUAUCAUUCAUCCUCUAACCCCAGACAGCACACUUCAUAUAAUUUUGGAAGGAGUGAAGUUUGCAGAUUUUCAUUGGACCCCAAUAAUACCCUACUGCAAACCUUGGUAAAGUUCACAAAGUGCACAGGGCCCUGGGUUCAAUCCCCAGCACCACAGAAAGUAGGCUUUAGGUUCACAUCUGAAGGGUACAAGCUUAGCUCACCUACAGAUUUACACUAUGUGGCAUUACCACAAUGUCUGGAUAAGCUAGCAGGUGAAGGGCUUCUCAUCUGAGUCCACUCAAAAAUGCGCAAUACCGGGGCUGGGAUUGUGGCUCAGCAGUAGAGCGCUCUUCUAGCACGUAUGAGGCUCUGGGUUUGAUCCUCAGCAUCACAUAAGAAUGAAAUAAAGAUGUGUCCAACUACAAUUAAAAUUUUUUAAAAAUGUUUAAAAAAUAUUUUUUCUUAAAAAUGUACAACACCAACACAAUAGCCAUAGGGGUCAUUAACAGCCAGGAAACAUGAGCCUACCAAAUGAAGUAUCCCCUGUUCCAGAGUAAUGGAGAUUUACAAGUUGCCUAGGAAUUCAAAAUAAGCUUGAGAUGAUCCAAAUUCUGGACCUGAAGAACACAGUGUCUAUUUCUACCAACCUGUACUCCCUAGCACUUGGGAGACUAAGGCAAGAGGAUUGUGUGUGGCUAACCUACAAAGGACUUAUCUUGAAAAUGACAGGAUGAAAAUGGUAUGUAAGCAAGCAGAAGGCCCUAUAUUCAAUCCCCAGUACCAUAAAAAUAAACUGAAUUUUUCAUAAAGAGCUUCAGCAGACUCCAAGAUGAUGAAUCCUGGAAUGGUGUUAUCUUGGGAGGCUUAGGCAAGAUGGUCCCUUAAGGCCAGCCAGGGCAAUAAUAAGAUCCCAUCUCAGUCAUUUGAAAUUCCUACCUAGGGGAAGUAAAAGCCUGAGACUUAUCAGAUAACAAACAAAUGAAUAUGCAUUGUGGGUGCUUUGGAAGAAGCAAAAUGAAAGUUGCAGGUUUUCGUUAUAAAGUUCCCAAAUUUGGAGAGGGAGAUGAAUAGAUUAAAUAUUAAGAAAUCAUUACUGAGACAAGUUGUAAUCAAGCACUCGGAAGGCAAAGCAUUGCUGGGUGUUGUCUACACUUGUAAUCACAGCAACUCUGGAGGCCGAAGCAAAAGGAUUGUAGUUCUUUCCCAGCUUUAGCAGUUUGACAAGACCCUUUCUCAAAAAGGUAUGGAGGUGCUGGUCACAUGGUAAGCACCUGUAACCCCAGUGGCUUGGGAAACUGAGGCAGAGGAUUAAGAGUUCAAAGCCAGGUUCGGCAACUUAGCAAGGCCUUAAGCAACUUUAGAAGACUGAGUCUGAAUUUUUUUUUAAAAAAAAUGUAAAAGGUCUGGGCAUAUGGCUUAGUGCUUAAGUGCCUCUGGGUUCAAUCCCUGGUACCAAAAAAAAAAGACAGUCCCAGGGCAUUCAAAUCUAUUCCAAUAGAAGAUUCUGAGGCUGAUAUUCUGCUGAAGACAAUAUUGCAUAAGCUCUGACCAUAGGCAAGCAGUCCUCCCCUCCUGACCCCUGUGCUGGGGGUCAAACCUUGUACAUGUUAAGCGCACAUUAUGGACUGGGGUUGUGGCUCAGUAGUAGAGCACUUGCCUCAUACAUGUAGAGCAGUGGGUUCAAUCCUCAGCACCACAUAAAUAAAGGUAUUGUGUCCAUCUGCAACUAAUUUAAAAACACAUUAUACUUUGUUUCCCAUUUACAAGCAAAUGCAUGGCACAUGAUAUUAGUCUCAAAUAUUGACUGCUAGCAGGGUGCAGUGGUGCACACCUGUAAUCUCAGUGACUUGGGAGGCUGAGACAGGAGGAUUUCGAGUUAAGACCCAGCCUCAGCAAUGGUGAGGCACUUAACAACUCAGUGAGACCCUGUCUCUAAAUAAAAUACAAAAUAGGGCUGGGGAUGUGGCUCAGAGGUUGGUUGAAUGCCCCUAAGUUAAAUCCCCAGUACCAAAACACAAACAAAUAUUGACUGCUAAAUGUAAAAAUGAUUGACCUUAAAGGGUAUGGAUACCAUUAUGUAAUCUUUUCUACUUUAUCUAGUUUAAUUCUUUCAAAAUUUAAGAAAAAUAUUAUUGGGCUUGGGGUGUAGCUUAAUGAUAAAAGUCCUUGCUUAGAAUACAUGAGAGCUUGGAUUUGAUCCCCAAAGUGGCGGGGAGGGUGUGGGGGUAUUUAGGGCUAAGGUGGUAGGUAGCUCAUAGAUAAAGUACAUGCUUAUUAGCAUGCACCAGGCCCUUCACUGAGUCCAGCACCAAAAACAAUUUUAUAUAUAUAUAUGUGUGUGUGUGUACAAACAUGUAUUUCUCAUGACUUCCUAUAUUUAACUAAUUUGUAUGUUUUAAUGGAUCUUGUCCUUCAUAUAUGUAUAUUUUCUUCUCAGCUCAAAUACAGAUGUUAUCUUGGCAUUAAAAGUUUCAUCAUUUUGGGCUGGGGAUGUGGCUCAAGCGGUAGCGCGCUCGCCUGGCAUGCGUGCAGCCCAGGUUCGAUCCUCAGCACCACAUACAAACAAAGAUGUUGUGUCUGCC